RNAcentral lists this ribosomal RNA (406 nucleotides) under uncultured bacterium. RNAcentral's name for it is "partial 16S ribosomal RNA". It matches the Rfam family "Bacterial small subunit ribosomal RNA", at positions 30 to 526 of the family's 1533-position model. The record is from RNAcentral.
AUUGAACGCUGGCGGCAGGCCUAACACAUGCAAGUCGAACGAGAGGAGGACGGGUGAGUAAUGGCUGGGAAACUGCCCGAUGGAGGGGGAUAACUACUGGAAACGGUAGCUAAUACAGCAUACCAUCGGAUGUGCCCAGAUGGGAUUAGCUAGAAGGUGGGGUAACGGCUUACCUAGGCGACGAUCCUUAUAUGUCCUGAGAGGAUGAUCAGCCACACUGGAACAGAGAGACGGUCCAGACUCCGACUGGAGGCAGCAGUGGGUAAUAUUGCACACUGGGCUCAAGCCGGAUGCAGCCACGCCGCGUGUAUGAAGAAGGCCUUCGGGUCUUAAAGUUCUUUCAGCGGGGAGGCGUGACUCGCAGAGGAAGCACCGGCUAACUCCGUGACAGCAGCCGCGGUAAUAC